This 495-nucleotide ribosomal RNA is filed under the name uncultured bacterium. Its description in RNAcentral is "partial 16S ribosomal RNA". It matches the Rfam family "Bacterial small subunit ribosomal RNA", at positions 28 to 507 of the family's 1533-position model. The record is from RNAcentral.
GACGAACGCUGGCGGCGUGCCUAAUACAUGCAAGUAGAACGCUGAAGGAGGAGCUUGCUCUUCUGGAUGAGUUGCGAACGGGUGAGUAACGCGUAGGUAACCUGCCUGGUAGCGGGGGAUAACUAUUGGAAACGAUAGCUAAUACCGCAUAAGAGUAGAUGUUGCAUGACAUUUACUUAAAAGGUGCAAUUGCAUCACUACCAGAUGGACCUGCGUUGUAUUAGCUAGUUGGUGGGGUAACGGCUUACCAAGGCGACGAUACAUAGCCGACCUGAGAGGGUGAUCGGCCACACUGGGACUGAGACACGGCCCAGACUCCUACGGGAGGCAGCAGUAGGGAAUCUUCGGCAAUGGACGGAAGUCUGACCGAGCAACGCCGCGGGAGUGAAGAAGGUUUUCGGAUCGUAAAGCUCUGUUGUAAGAGAAGAACGAGUGUGAGAGUGGAAAGUUCACACUGUGACGGUAUCUUACCAGAAAGGGACGGCUAACUACGUG